This 252-nucleotide ribosomal RNA is filed under the name uncultured bacterium. Its description in RNAcentral is "partial 16S ribosomal RNA". It matches the Rfam family "Bacterial small subunit ribosomal RNA", at positions 524 to 776 of the family's 1533-position model. The record is from RNAcentral.
UACGGGGGGGCAAGCGUUGUUCGGAAUUACUGGGCGUAAAGGGUUCGUAGGUGGCCAACUAAGUCAUACGUGAAAUCCCUCAGCUUAACUGGGGAACUGCGUCUGAUACUGGUUGGCUUGAGUGCAGGAGAGGAACGCGGAAUUCCAGGUGUAGCGGUGAAAUGCGUAGAUAUCUGGAGGAACACCGGUGGCGAAGGCGGCGUUCUGGACUGUAACUGACACUGAGGAACGAAAGCCAGGGGAGCAAACGGG